CCUACGGGUGGCAGCAGGGAGGAAUAUUGGUCAAUGGGCGGAAGCCUGAACCAGCCAAGUAGCGUGCGGGAUGAAGGCCCUACGGGUCGUAAACCGCUUUUGCACGGGGAUAACACCCUCCACUUGUGGAGGUCUGCAGGUACCGUGCGAAUAAGGGCCGCCUAAUUCCGUGCCAGCAGCCGCGGUAAUACGGAGGGCCCGAGCAUUAUCCGGAUUCAUUGGGCUUAAAGGGAGCGUGUGCGGGCGUUAAAGUCAGCUGUAAAAUCGCGCGACUCAACCGCGCACCGUAGUUGACACUGGACGCCUGUAGUUCACAACAGGCAGGCGGAAUUCGUGGUGUAGCGGUGAAAUGCGUAGAUAUCACGAGGAACCCCGAUUGCGAAGGCAGCCUGCCGGAGUGCGACUGACGCUGAGGCUCGAAGGUGCGGGUAUCAAACAGGAUUAGAUACCCCGGUAGUC
This 459-nucleotide ribosomal RNA is filed under the name uncultured bacterium. Its description in RNAcentral is "partial 16S ribosomal RNA". It matches the Rfam family "Bacterial small subunit ribosomal RNA", at positions 338 to 795 of the family's 1533-position model. The record is from RNAcentral.